Molecule: ribosomal RNA, 548 nt
Filed under: Escherichia coli
Lineage: Bacteria; Pseudomonadati; Pseudomonadota; Gammaproteobacteria; Enterobacterales; Enterobacteriaceae
Description: partial 23S ribosomal RNA
Rfam family: Bacterial large subunit ribosomal RNA
Source: RNAcentral
GUUAAGCGACUAAGCGUACACGGUGGAUGCCCUGGCAGUCAGAGGCGAUGAAGGACGUGCUAAUCUGCGAUAAGCGUCGGUAAGGUGAUAUGAACCGUUAUAACCGGCGAUUUCCGAAUGGGGAAACCCAGUGUGUUUCGACACACUAUCAUUAACUGAAUCCAUAGGUUAAUGAGGCGAACCGGGGGAACUGAAACAUCUAAGUACCCCGAGGAAAAGAAAUCAACCGAGAUUCCCCCAGUAGCGGCGAGCGAACGGGGAGCAGCCCAGAGCCUGAAUCAGUGUGUGUGUUAGUGGAAGCGUCUGGAAAGGCGCGCGAUACAGGGUGACAGCCCCGUACACAAAAAUGCACAUGCUGUGAGCUCGAUGAGUAGGGCGGGACACGUGGUAUCCUGUCUGAAUAUGGGGGGACCAUCCUCCAAGGCUAAAUACUCCUGACUGACCGAUAGUGAACCAGUACCGUGAGGGAAAGGCGAAAAGAACCCCGGCGAGGGGAGUGAAAAAGAACCUGAAACCGUGUACGUACAAGCAGUGGGAGCACGCUUCGG